This 372-nucleotide ribosomal RNA is filed under the name uncultured bacterium. RNAcentral describes it as "bacterial SSU rRNA". It matches the Rfam family "Bacterial small subunit ribosomal RNA", at positions 524 to 898 of the family's 1533-position model. The record is from RNAcentral.
UACGGAGGAUCCGAGCGUUAUCCGGAUUUAUUGGGUUUAAAGGGUGCGCAGGCUGACCGAUAAGUCAGGGGUGAAAAAUUUCAGCUUAACUGGAAUCGUGCCUUUGAUACUGUCGGACUAGAGUGUAACUGACGUGACUGGAAUGUGCCGUGUAGCGGUGAAAUGCUUAGAUAUGUCACAGAACGCCGAUCGUGAAGACAGGUCACGAAGUUACUACUGACGCUCAUGCACGAAAGCGUGGGGAUCAAACAGGAUUAGAUACCCUGGUAGUCCACGCUGUAAACGAUGAUUACUCGUUGUUGGGCAGCAAUGCUCAGUGGCCAAGCGAAAGUGAUAAGUAAUCCACCUGGGGAGUACGAUCGCAAGGUUGAA